This is a small nuclear RNA of Pan troglodytes (chimpanzee), 104 nucleotides long. The record is from Ensembl. NCBI's taxonomy places the organism in Eukaryota, Metazoa, Chordata, Mammalia, Primates, Hominidae.
GUACUUGCUUUGGCAGCACAUACCCUAAAACUGGAAUGAUACAGAGAUUAGCAUGGCUCUUGUGCAAGGAUGACACACAAAUUUGUGAAGUGUUCCAUAUUUAA